ACCCCCGUAGUGUAGCGGUCAAUCAUGCCAGCCUUUGGAGCUGGCGACACCAGUUCGAAUCUGGUCGGGGGUA
Molecule: transfer RNA, 73 nt
Filed under: Methanomicrobiales archaeon HGW-Methanomicrobiales-1
Lineage: Archaea; Methanobacteriati; Methanobacteriota; Methanomicrobia; Methanomicrobiales
Also listed under: 2 other names
Description: tRNA-Gln
Rfam family: tRNA
About the family: Transfer RNA (tRNA) molecules are approximately 80 nucleotides in length.
Source: RNAcentral